UGUAAACCAUUUUAAUUUAGCUGCACACAUACUUGAGUUAUUUAUUAUUUUAAGUUGUUACAACUUCCUACAAAAUGGAGAGCCCCAUAUUCCGAACUAACAAUUAAUCACAGGUGAGAACAUCACAGUCAACAUAAUAUUUAGCCAGCAAACAAUUUUCUUAAAUGUGUAUUAAGAAAACAAAAGAUCAAUAAUCGAGCACCAACAACCACAAACAUGUUCAAACUCAAAUUGAAAACUUUAUUCCCAUAUGGAAUAAAAUAAAUGAUCAUAUUAUGUAAUGUACAUAUAAAUACAUUUUUGUUAAAAUAGCUUAAUGAUCCUAAUUAAAAUUUAUGUGCACCUAAUGUGGGUUUAUCAUGUUUGUGAUUUAGUGCUCAAUUAAUCGUGUAUCUUGUUUUCUUAAUAGCAAUUGUUGGCUGGCUAAUUAGGCCUAUUAUGUUGUGAUGUUAUUGAUCUCAUCUGUAAUAAUACUUGGAAAUAAUAAAAAUGUGUUCAAGAAUGCAUUUUACAUAUUUACUGCACUUUUAACCAAUAGCUUGUCUAAUAAAUACAUAAAUGACUUACAGAGACAUAUGUGGCAAUGUUUUAAUGACAUUCUCAAUUUUCUUUGCACAGUCCAUCAUCAGUGGCCAAAAGAAAUCAAAGUGGCUUGACAUAUUUUGCAAUCCUUCUGCCAAAACCAUGCUUGUGCCUGUGUACGUUGACAAUCAGGACCAAACUGAUGACUUACUUUCACCUCACUUCAUUUCUGGACAGGACACCCACACAGACUCACAGUGACACGAUCAAGUUUAUUAUGGAUGUCCUUUUUCCAGAGUCCAUCAUCUGUUCCCUUGCUGGUUUGUAAAAUCUCACCAUGCUGGAGGCUGAGGAGAAAUUUCUACAAGUCAUUGACAUACAAGUGAGCGGGAGCAGUUUGACAGGAGGAUUAAGA
Molecule: long non-coding RNA, 937 nt
Organism: Triplophysa rosa
Lineage: Eukaryota; Metazoa; Chordata; Actinopteri; Cypriniformes; Nemacheilidae
Exons: 3
Source: RefSeq, a predicted model, not a curated record